This 84-nucleotide transfer RNA is filed under the name Candidatus Wolfebacteria bacterium. RNAcentral's name for it is "tRNA-Tyr". The stretch from base 7 to 77 matches the Rfam family "tRNA", at positions 7 to 64 of the family's 71-position model. From Rfam's summary of the family: Transfer RNA (tRNA) molecules are approximately 80 nucleotides in length. The record is from RNAcentral. Lineage: Bacteria; Candidatus Wolfeibacteriota.
GCGUCGAUGGCAGAGUGGUCAAUUGCAGGAGACUGUAAAUCUCCCGGUCUUAGACCUACGUAGGUUCAAAUCCUACUAUUCCUG